AUGAACAUCAGGGGCCCAUCUCAGCUCCUGGUGCUCCUGCUGCUCUGGCUCCCAGGUGCACAAUGUGACAUCCAGAUGACCCAGUCUGCAUCCUCAGUGUCUGCUUCUCUAGGAGGCAGAGUCAUCAUCACUUACAGAGCCAGUCAGAACAUUUACAGCAAUUUAAAUGUGUAUGAGCAGAAACCACAGAAAGCUCCAAAGCUCCUGAUCUAUGUUGCAAGCAAGUUUGAAACCAGGAUCCCACUAAGGUUUAGUGACAGUGGAUUUGGGACAGAUUUCACUCUCACCAUCAGAAGCCUGGAGCCUGAAGAUGUUGGAACUUAUUACUGUCAACAAGAUUAUGGUUCCCCUCCCACAGUGAUAGAAACCGUAACAUAA
Molecule: non-coding RNA, 378 nt
Organism: Heterocephalus glaber (naked mole-rat)
Lineage: Eukaryota; Metazoa; Chordata; Mammalia; Rodentia; Bathyergidae
Source: the annotation of a RefSeq genome assembly